This is a long non-coding RNA of Homo sapiens (human), 844 nucleotides long. Ensembl annotates it as transmembrane protein 198B (pseudogene). Its record names the gene TMEM198B. NCBI's taxonomy places the organism in Eukaryota, Metazoa, Chordata, Mammalia, Primates, Hominidae. The record is from Ensembl.
ACCCCUCCUCCCCCCACCGCGCGCACGCGCGCGCGCACACACACAAACACAAACACACACCCCAACACACACGCCCUGUCCCCUUUCUCCACCCUGCAAGCUAGUUGCAUUUAGCUCACAGAGCCUGGGCUGCGACUUGAAAGAGUUUAGGCAGCAACAGAGUGACCCUGGGGGUGCUCUUGACCGACAGCCGCACCCCCGGCGUCUAGGACCUCCGAGCAGGGAUGCAUCUGGAGGUCUAGGGAAGCACUUCCACCCCCUCCUCUCCUCAAUCCUGGCAGGAUGUGCCCGAAAUGCCAGCUCCUCCUUGGUGUUCUCCUUUCAGGAUUUGAAUUCAAAUCCCAUUGGCAGCCCUGAUACCGCUGGGGGAAGGGUGAGGCUACUGCUGCUUCAAGACAGUGACGUUUCUCUCCGGUCAGCUGUCAGGAGCGCUGCUGGGUCUUACUGGGGAUCUGGCCAGCCUUGGGGGCCCUUGGAGCCCUGGCCCAGUGGAAGCUCGUGCCUGAGGAACAUGGAGGCCACGCUAAUGAGUUACUUCCAGAGUCUUCAAGAGUGCCAACUGGGACCAGGACCCCAGACCACAGCCCCCCACACCGUCCUGGACCUGGAUUCUGACUGUGGUUCCACUGUACCCCUCACCUUAAUCUCUGGUUCUAACCAGACCUGAGCCUAGACUUCCACUUUUUCCCUUACCCCUGUGAGGGCCUGGGAACACUAGGGUCUGUUCCUGGUUUCCCAGAUGCAUAAAGGAAGACAUAUCCCUCCCCUGGGCAGCAAGGCUACAAUGGGAGGGAGGGAGAACAUGGGAGCAUGUGAAUAAAAUGGCAUUAAAUACUGAACCAGG